This is a long non-coding RNA of Carassius gibelio (silver crucian carp), 538 nucleotides long. RefSeq lists it as uncharacterized. The transcript is spliced from 3 exons. NCBI's taxonomy places the organism in Eukaryota, Metazoa, Chordata, Actinopteri, Cypriniformes, Cyprinidae. The record is from RefSeq and is a predicted model, not a curated record.
GCUGUAGAAAGUUAUUACAAAAAGAAGGUUAAUUUUGGACAUGCAAUUCCCUUUUCUACCAGUAGGGGUAAAAAGAAAGGUUGUGAAAAAUGUCCACUGUCCCCCUCUAUUGAUUGACACUGGUUUCAUGUCUCUGUCUCACUGCUGUAGAAAGUUAUUACAAAUAGAAGGUUAAUUUUGGACAUGCAGUUCCCUAAUCAGCCACUUGGAGUAAAAUGAAAGGUUGUGAAAAAUGUCCACUCUCUCCCUCUAUUGAUUGACACUGGUUUCAUGUCUCUGUCUCCCUGCUGUAGAAAGUUAUUACAAAAAGAAGGUUAAUUUUGGACAUGCAAUUCCCUUUUUUACCAGUAGGGGGUAAAAACAAAGGUUGUGAAAAAUGUCCACUGUCCCCCUCUAUUGAUUGAAAGUGGUUUCAUGUCUCUGUCUCCCUGCUGUAGAAAGUUAUUACAAAAAGAAUGUCAAUUUUGGACAUGCAAUUCCCUUUUCUACCAGUAGGGGUAAAAAGAAAGGUUGUGAAAAAUGUCCACUCUCCCCCUCU